Molecule: ribosomal RNA, 564 nt
Filed under: Triticum aestivum (bread wheat)
Lineage: Eukaryota; Viridiplantae; Streptophyta; Magnoliopsida; Poales; Poaceae
Description: partial small subunit ribosomal RNA
Source: RNAcentral
AUGGAUUGGAAUCCCAAGGUGUUAUGUUGGAAUGUGAGGGGGUUAAACAACCCAGCGAAGAGGAAUGCCAUGCGGGAGUUUCUGGGUGAAGCCAAAGUGAACCUAGCGUGCUUGCAAGAAACGAAGCUUGAUUUAAUUAACCCUUUUAUAGUGAUGCAAUGUAUGGGGCCAUCGUUUGAUGGUUUUGCCUACCUGCCGGCGUCUGAUACUCGGGGAGGUAUUCUCUUGGGGUGGGACACGUCGAUGUUGGAGGUGGAUAACGUUGUCUUCGAUACUCAUGCCCUAACGGGAAUGGUGCACACUAAGGAAGGGUUUUCAUGGUGGGUGACAGUAGUUUAUGGUCCGCAAGGGGACGAUGAGAAGAUGCAAUUUCUGGUCGAGCUUCACAAUAGACGUGCUGUUUGUCUGGGGCCUUGGAUGGUGCUCGGUGAUUUUAAUAUGAUCUUACGUGCAGAUGAGAAGAAUAAUAAUAAUCUUAACCGGAGGAUCAUGAGAAGGUUUAAAGAAUUUGUAGAUGAUUGUGAGCUCAAGGAACCAUAUAUGCAUGGGAGGCGGUUUACAUAG